Molecule: long non-coding RNA, 215 nt
Organism: Lineus longissimus
Lineage: Eukaryota; Metazoa; Nemertea; Pilidiophora; Heteronemertea; Lineidae
Exons: 3
Source: RefSeq, a predicted model, not a curated record
CGCUAAUACCAACAACGACUCCCUUCCAAAUAACAACAACCACAACAGCUUCCCCAUCAGCAGGGCCCGUUUUCGACCUUUCAUUUAUACUGAAUACCGACUUUACAGAAGAUCUAAAGGAUCCAAGUAGCCAAGCAUACAAGGAUUUGGCAGAAAGGGUUGUGGCAAUGUUGAUGAAGGGUUACAAAGACUCUCCUAUGGGUGACAAGAUCAGC